Molecule: long non-coding RNA, 7226 nt
Organism: Sapajus apella (tufted capuchin)
Lineage: Eukaryota; Metazoa; Chordata; Mammalia; Primates; Cebidae
Exons: 2
Source: RefSeq, a predicted model, not a curated record
UACCCCUUCCUCUUCUUCUCUUUCUCUCACUUUCUUUUCCUCUUUUAUUCCUUGUACCUUCUAUAACAAAGAAUUUUGGGGAAAAGUUCUAAAAAGAGAGAAAUUCUUUAUUUUUAGAGCCAGAUUUUUUUUUUUUUUUUUUGCCAAAGAUCUAUUUGCAGCUGAAAAAACUAGUGAAAUAAAUAGGCCAAAGGCCUCUUUCUUAUUCAGACAAAAUGUCCAUGGAAAGUACUAAAAAGGUUAAAUCUCAUGGUGACCUUAGAGGUUAUAUUCUUGGAAAAAGAAGAUUGGAGUUGGUUUUCUACCCCUGCCUUGACCAGGCCUCCUUCCAGCACUCUGACACAGACCCUCCAGUUGAGGAGCCCUUUCCCUCAAUCAAAGGAAACAGAGUGGAAUUCAAGAGAAGGGCCGCCCAACUCACAGCUCUAUGUCAAUCUGAUAAAUAUCAGCUCUACAUUCUCUUCCAAGGCAUUGAUCAACAUACUGCAUGGGAUGAACACCUGUGGCCAUUGGAUUAGAGCCCUCAGUUCAAUCCCUAUCUAUUUAUUGGAAAGGCAAUAGAGGGUAGUGUAUUUAAACACACGAAUCCUAACUUUUUUAUUUACAUGUUUUUGGUCUUCAAGAAUAUGACUCAACCUCCCCAAGCCUCCAUUUAUCUAUCUAUAAAGGUGGGAGUAACAACGGCACCCAUCUGGCAAGGUGGUGUAUUUAAAAGGCUUAGUGCAGUACCUGGCUCAGGCAGUUUGCAGUCAUCGGUAGCAAUUAUUAAUAAUUCAGUUAGCUGUGAAGCCAGCUCAUCAAAUUAUCAUCUAGCCCACGCUUUCUACAAGGAAAAACACACAUCUGUUUAUCAAAUGCUCCUGUAGGACUUAAAGUGCAUGCUGUCUGGAAUAUUUUAUUGAUGUAUCAAAAAUAAACUAUUUAAAGAGGAAAUAAAGUUAUCCCAGGGUGACUUGAACUUCUACACACUCCCAGCUGUCUCUGGCUGAACUCUUUUUCCUAAAUGUUCAUAAAAUGUAUAUAAUAAUCAAAUUCUGAAUGCUAGAUGCAUUGCCUUCUAGUUUUUAGAAUCCACAUUUUUCUCAUUUUUGAAAACUGGAAUAACAUAUUCCUGUCUCCAAUUCCCUGGCCUUGCUCCCAGUCUCUGAUUUAUCUAAGAUUGCUGACAGUGGUUUUGUAAUCACAUCUGCAAGUUCUUUCUGUAUUCUAGAAUGUAAUCCAACUUGAACUCAUUAAAUAUCUAGUUCCCCUUUUAUUAUCUCUUGUGCUAUCUUGAGCUUUAAUUCUCUCUUUAAAAACAUUUUUUAUAAAAAUAUGUAUAUAUAUAAAAGUAAUACCUAUUCAUGGCUAAAAAUUUCAGAUAUAUGGUUAAACAAAAUGAAGAGGUCGAAAAUCAUCAGUAGUCGUAGCUUGCUGAGAUAACAGUGCUUCCUGAUUUGAGAUAAAGGCUUCAAGUAUUUUUCUUUGUAGAUAUAGAUACACAGGCUGUUGCAUAAAUAAAGCAUGAACAUAUUUCCAUAUAAUUAGUUCUUUUUUUCUAUAACCAUAUUUUUAAUGUUAGCAUACAAUUUCAGUGUAGUAAUGUGAGAUAAUUUUUACUGAGCUCAGCCCUUUGGUUGAGCAUUUUGGCUUUUUGGCUAUGAGCUGUAUUAUUAGUGUUACAGUCACUACUUUGAUAAAAGAAGUAGGCAUUCAGUAAAUAGUUGUUGAUAUUCUUAAGUAAGGAGGCUCCAGGGACAUGAGAAUGUAGACUUCACAAGCAGAGACUCUGUGCCCUGAUGCCUCUUGUUCUCAUGCUAGAUGGCUGACCUCAGACAAGUCACUCCACUCUUCAGGGACACAGUUUUCCUUUUGAGAAUUCUCUCCUGUUAAGGGGUGGAGGUGACAGACAGUGGCCUCCAGAAUGGGCUCUUGUAAAAGUAAAGUGCAACACUGAAUAUAGAUACCUAUAACACAGUGCUUGGCUCUUAGAAAGGACCCGAUAAAUGAUAGCUGUUGUUACUAAUAUUAUUUUUGUUAUAACAUCUUAUAUGGUUCAAGGUCUAUGUAGUUUUAAAAUAAAGAUGUUGUUAGAAGUCAAUGAGUCCCUUAAUUCAGAGAUUUAUAUUUCAAGCUCAACGCAAAGUACGUGGAAUCUAAUAGCACAUAGUAAAAAAUAUUAAUAUGAAGACUCAUGCAGAGGCACUCAUAUAAUAUGUAUAACUAGCUCUGCUAUAACAAGAUAAAUGCAUUCCUAAAAACCAUCAUGCUAUGCAAAACAGUACAAUAAAUACCACAGUUCUCAUGGGAGAUGGGAUGUGGCAGUGAUUCUCAACCACUCACAAUCCUCCAUGAUUUUCUCCCUCUCCCAGGCUGUAUUUGGCAAUGUCUGUAAUCAUUUUGGGUUGUUACACUGGGGAGUAGCAGAAUCAGGGCUACUGGCAUGUAGCAGGUAGAUGCCAGGCCAGGUGGUUGCCAAAUAUCCUACAGUGCCCGAGACAGCCCCACCCCACUCCCUCAGCAAAGAAUUAUCCAGCCCAAAGUAUCAGCAUUGCUGAGGUUGAGAAACCCUAGGUUUGAGGUCACAAAGCCCAAAAAAAUUGUCAAUGACACAUUAAUAAACAAAACUAACAGGAAUCAACAACAACAAAAAAAGUGGUAGCACAGUUUACCCAUGUUACAUGGUUAAGAGAUGCAUAGAUACAGUAAGUAUUACACUUCUCCUUAUAAAAGACCUGGCAUCUGCCUGUGAAAGUGAAGGUGAGAAGGGUUGCUGCUUUUGAGCUACUGUGAAGUGGUGGGAGGGGGUUAUCCAGAAUCAGAGAGAAAGUUGCAGCACUGGGUGUGGGCUGAGGUGGAUUGCAGAUGGUGGAGGUGUAUGCAUGUUGUGUAUUCCUAUCAGGUGCAGUUCAGCUGAGUGCAGUUUCCUGCAUUAAUCUCGUGUUCCUGGUGGUUGAAAUUGUGUGUAAACAAAUCUAGUUAUGUUCAAAUGGUUCCCUAAUAUAUCAAUGCCAUUGGAACAAAUUCAUGAUUUCAAAAGAAGACUUAUAGCAGAACUAACUUUACAUACUUAAUUGCACUAAAUGGACUUGACUAAAACUAUAAUUUACAGCACCAGUGAUUCUUAAAAGUAUGGCAGACAUUAUUACCAAAGAGACUUUUAACCCAUAGAAAUUACCAAACAGAAAUGUUUUAGGAAAAUGAGUAGGACCGUGUUUACACAAACUCUUUCACAUGCCACUGUCACAAGAUUUUUCCAUGACCUGACAAGUGGCCCAUACUAUUUAUAACAAAGUCUGCUAAAAAUCUUUUAUAAUGCUCAACUAGUUAAGGGUAAAAUUAUAUGAUAUGUAACAUUUGCUUCAAAAAAAUCCAGGUUUGGACAGUAUAUGAGAGGUGCUAACAGGAAACAAGAUGGGCCAUGAGUUGAAUGAAAUUAGGAAAUUAAAACAUGGGGCUUGGUUAUCAUCUUCUUUCUACUUAUGUAUAAUAAAGAUAAAAGGAAGAGUAGUCCACUUAAAAAUCGUGUACAAGCAGUGAAUUUGCAAGCAGGUUCAUAUAAAUACUGAUUUAAAAAUAAAGACGCCAUUUUUGAACAUAGGGUUUGUGUGUCGCCACCAUAAUGAAAUAUCAUGCUAAAAACAUGGGCUGUCCUGCAAGUAUUUAAAUCAUGCUUACUUUCUUCAGGUUCUAAAGGAUGGAAUAUGCUGAGUAGAGCAUGAUGGUUAGCAAAGACAGUUGUCAAAAAGAAAAAAUUAACAUUCAAGUCAUGACUGAGUCAGGAUGUAUGUUGAUUCUCUCCAUGGGAAACUUGACUAAGCAGAGAAUCCUGUAGUUAUGAGCAUGGGUAAGCGUUAGAGCUUGACCUUGCUGGGGAGGCCUGGUUUCAUUAAGUGGCCUUGGGCACUAAUCUAUUCACUAUGAGAAAUUUUGUUUCCCUUCGGGUUUGUAAAAACUGGAUUCUCCUUGUAAUGAAAAAAAGUGCAAUGUAAAGAGACAACAAAAUGUAUGCUUGUGAUAAUAAAGGCAUAAAUUGGAAUAGACUCAUGAAAACUUAGUGAAUUUGAGUCACUCUGUAGAGGAUCUGAUGAAAACUAGAAAUACUCUCUCCAGAAAAAAUAUGUAUGUGAAUUCACAAAAAGUUUGCCUAUGAAUUCACAGACCCCUUAGUAUCCAUUCAGGACACUCGUUUGAGAACUGGAAUUAGAAGCUGUGAUUGGUCCAAUCCAAAAGCCAAAGUUGCAGUGCAGGGGAAACAGGUUACAUGUGCAGCUGUUGCUUCUGAUGUAUUUCUCCAGCCUGAACUAUGUCUUCCACUCUCUGAAUUCUGCUCCAUUCUUUAAAGCCCCCCUGCUUUGGGGAUGCCUUCUUUAGCCUAUGCCAUCUACAGAAGUUUUUCCUCUGAACUCAUAGUAACUUUCAGUGUUGCUAUUUUGGUCCUUAAGCACGCAUUCUCUUUGAAUGCUUAUCUCUGGAUGCCUGCGUGUGUGUGUGUGUGUGUGUGUGUGUGUGUGUGUGUGUGUGUGUGUGUGUGUUGCCUGUCUAACUUGACUGCAAGCAACUUGAGAGCAAGACCAUUUAUCAUACUUCCUGGUGUAUCUCGCCAGUAUCAUGUAGAGAACUAACAGAUGGACAGACAUGUGGUUGUAAAGUAGGUUCCCGUAAGAUAUGAAAUGAAUUGAUGAAUCUUCUACUCCUUUCCUUACUCCUUCCCCGAGCACUUUAAGCUUAUGCUCUCUAUCGCUUUUGUCUGGAGUACCUUUCUCUACCAGAAAUGGGUAGGAAACUCCCAUGGGAGUCCUGGGGAUGAAAGCUAGAGCUCUCAGGGAAGUCCUCUGUCUUCCACUUUCUUCUUCUCUCUGCCUCCGCCCUGCUCCCCGGUUCCAUCCCAUCAGCCUCUGGAAGACCUCUGUCAGGUACCUAUGUGCAGCACAUCACAUGGCAAUGAUUCCCUAUGACACUGCUAGAAUACAUAAGGUGCAUUGAGUAUGGGGUGCACAGAUGAACGGAUUUACCGGCUUAUUUAUUUUAAAUGUGCGUUUGUAGCAUUGUAACCAUAUAUCCUGCUCAUAAUUUCCCAGAGAAUAUUGAUUCACAUGAGUCUAAAUUUAAAAAUGAGAGAAUAGAUUAAAGAAAAAUAGUAAGUAAAUAAUAGUUAACUUGCUGUGGUUUUAUAGCAGAAUUUGUGCAGAUGGGGUGAAUAUUCAUGUUUUUUCAGCACCAGGCUGGCCAUUAACAGGCAGAUGUGUUGUUAACAUACAUGUCUUUAUGUCCUUCUCCCUUCCUAGGAAGCAGCUGGCAGGGACAGGGUAUGAACCAGCCCUGUAACUCCUAGCACUGGUGCUCAUUAAUGAUUGGCUGAAUUGAGUCAUACUCUACUGAAUUUUAAAAUUAUGUCUCAGCAUUAGCUUUGCCCUUCUCAAAGCACUGUUUUGUCUAUUCCCCGGAACAGAGGGAAAGCAGGAAGAUGGAAAGGAAAAUCGCAGCUCUGCGUCUCUUCAACAGAUCUCCAAGUGGUUCAGACAGACCACUACAGAAGCCUAUCCUAAUUAAAUCCCACUGGAUGCCCUUGUUUGGUUAUGUUUCUUACUUAUUUUUCUAUCCAGCUGUAAAGCCUACUUAUGAAUGUGUAAAGAGAUUUCUUUGACUUUAAUACAAUUAGCCAACGACUCUCAGAGCCUCUUUGAGGACAGAUUUCACCCACCCAAGCAUUUGCUAAUGUCAGAGAACAAUGAUGAUUACCUAGCUAAUGGUGGAGGGGCAGGGGUUACCGAAAAAAAGCAAAACAUCAAACUUGUACACAGGGAAACUUAGCCAACUAACACCUGCCAGAAAAGACUAGAGGGUGGGGCUGGAGUGAGCAGGUUCCCCGGGCUUUUCCCUAGGGAGGCUGCUGAAACUUCCCAACUCUGAAGGUCUUUGUGUGAGAGGUGAGGGGUGGGUGUGAGUGAGUGAGUCCUGCCUGGGAGGCGAACAAAGAAAGGAAAAGGGAAAGGCAAGGGUGCUUCCACUUCUCAAGGUAACAUACUUGAAUGACUCCAACAUUGAAAAUCAGCCCUAAUCACUGGUGAUUCAUUUUGAACAAAUCACAAAGGGCCUUUCCCCGCCCCCAGCUCUGUUUCCGUUUUAGGGAUUUCCCAGGCUAAAAGGGCAGCCCAGUUUGAGUCACUGGUUUUAAGAAACCAAGAAAUGAUAAAGUGAAACAGAUCAACUGCACUCCUGAGGGUUGUUAACCCUGUGUUUACAAAAAUUAUUUAAAAAAUCAUUUAUCUACAAUCAAAUCUGAAUUCCUGUAAGUCCAUGUACUAAGGUGUCCCUGCCUUCUUUUUUGCACUGCACCUUUUUUGCACUGCACAAGUUUGAAUAGUCAGAGGCUCCACCUAGAAAAAGUGACAAGUUGAAAUUAUAACCAAUUCUGUCUGUUACUUGUUACUGAGUAUAAUAAAGAUCAGUUGUCCUUUAUGGGGUAUGGUUAGGUGUCUUUAAUAGAGAGAUUUCACUAGCGCAUCAAUGUAAUUUCACCUUUGUUUGACUAAAAAAUUACAACGACCAUUUUUGAGUGCCUAAUAUAACCUAGGCACUUAACAUAUAUCAUUUCCUUUAUUUCUUACAAGAAUCCAAUGAACUAAGUAACACUUCCUUGCUGAAAAACUAAGACCUAGUUAAUAAGUGGCAGAGCCAAGAUAUGAACCUCAAGUUUUACCUGUUGCAAGCUAUGUGUCUUUCCAUUCCCCUUAUUGCAUUUCUAGAAACUUGACAGAAAAGACUAAGGAAAAGCAAGAAGGAGUGGGACUCAGCACAGCCGUCAAGGCAAACAUGGCUUAACACACAUAUCUGUAACAUAUGACUCAUCUUUUGCUAUGAGAUAACUGACAAAACUCAUGUCUGAAUUCACACGUGCCGGUCAGUCUCCAAGAGUCAACUUGGGCAUGAGCCCCAGUGUCCCCUAUGUGUUCCCCAGUCAGACACCCUCCACCCACACUCGCAUCACUGUAUUUAUAUUUAUCAUCUUGUUAAUAGUUGGGAAGAGGGGAAGCAGCCAUUUGUGGGCCAUGUUUUUUCCACAAUUUAAUUCCUAGUAUUUGUGAGCACCAAGAGUGCAAUGCUCAGCAAUCGCUCAUGAGGAUCUGAGGUUCUGAAAAGAAAGUCUCAUCAUCGUGGGUUCUCUUUUGUCAUUUCCAAUUCCAGGAGUUUCUCCUCUCACUGUGAAACAACUGAACAGCCAGAGUCAGCAUGGAUAGAGAGAG